AUGGAGCUUGACAGAUUCGACUUUUCAGCUCUCCCCCCUUUUUUUUUUUCACCACCUCUGCUCUCUACCUCAGAAAUACUCUUCAGGAAGCAGGAGUUAAUCUUGGCUUUCCUUAGGUAUUCCCUUCACAUCUCUUCAGGGCAGACCAGAAGAGUAAUCGAGGGAAGAGCUCACCACCCAGACAAAUGUCAUCGAACACCAUGGCACAUUAGGUAUUGCAGAGAAGAGGAAGGAAACACUGACUUUUAAAAUGUGCUUUUCCCCCCUCGAUCCUUAUGUGGCCCCCCAUCCGAAUGGUGCAUCGCUGCUGAAACCAAAAUGCAUUGCAUCAUGUUCAAUGCAAUUGAGUUUUGCAGGUUUCUGAGACCUGGAGAACAAAGAGAAACUGACAGUCACUCUAAUUAUCUUUUGGCAACAUCCUGUACUCACAAACGAAAUGUAGAAAUAAUUCUAUCUAGUUUUACUAUCUGCCCUAAACUUGGUCUGUCAAUGCGCCGUUGAAAGAAAGGGUAUUUGAAUUUGAUCCUUUGUGUGGCAUGGAUUAGUGACUGUGAAACUAAUAAAUCGAAACUACCUCCAAACUAAGUCAAAUU
Molecule: long non-coding RNA, 593 nt
Filed under: Dasypus novemcinctus (nine-banded armadillo)
Lineage: Eukaryota; Metazoa; Chordata; Mammalia; Cingulata; Dasypodidae
Description: lncRNA (ENSDNOG00000051547.1)
Source: RNAcentral